RNAcentral lists this unclassified non-coding RNA (181 nucleotides) under uncultured fungus. RNAcentral describes it as "partial contains 18S rRNA, ITS1, 5.8S rRNA, ITS2 and 28S rRNA". The record is from RNAcentral. Lineage: Eukaryota; Fungi.
AAGGAUCAUUAACAAAUCCCUGGCCGUCUCUCUUCCUGGGGGACGCGCUAUCUGUUCCGGCAUUGAGCGCUGUGGCGCGAGGUGCCGUGUUCAAGGUGCUCUGCACAAGUAUGUAAGUCGGACUGAAACAGCAUGGUGGGAACUCAACAAACAACUUUUAACAAUGGAUCUCUAGGCUCUU